RNAcentral lists this ribosomal RNA (252 nucleotides) under uncultured bacterium. RNAcentral describes it as "partial 16S ribosomal RNA". It matches the Rfam family "Bacterial small subunit ribosomal RNA", at positions 524 to 776 of the family's 1533-position model. The record is from RNAcentral.
UACGUAGGUCCCGAGCGUUGUCCGGAUUUAUUGGGCGUAAAGCGAGCGCAGGUGGUUUAUUAAGUCUGGUGUAAAAGGCAGUGGCUCAACCAUUGUAUGCUUUGGAAACUGGUAGACUUGAGUGCAGGAGAGGAGAGUGGAAUUCCAUGUGUAGCGGUGAAAUGCAUAGAUAUCACGCAGAACUCCGAUUGCGAAGGCAGCGUACCGGCAUCCAACUGACGCUGAGGCACGAAAGCGUGGGGAUCAAACAGG